Molecule: ribosomal RNA, 352 nt
Filed under: uncultured eukaryote
Lineage: Eukaryota
Description: SSU rRNA
Rfam family: Eukaryotic small subunit ribosomal RNA
Source: RNAcentral
AGCUCCAAUAGCGUAUGUUAAAGUUUUUGCGGUUAAAGGGUUCGUAUUUGGAUUUCUGCUCAGGACGACCGGCCCGCCCUCUGCGUGAGAAUCUGGCUCGGCCUUGGCGUCUUCUUGGCGAACGUAGUUGCACUUGAUUGUCCGGUGCGAUGCCCAGAAUUCUUACUUUGAGGGAAUUAGAGCGUUUCAGGCAUGGAAUAAUAAGAUAGGACCUCGGUUCUAUUUUGUUGGUUUCUAGAGUUCAGGUAAUGAUUAAUAGGGAUCGUUGGGGCAUUCGUAUUUAAUUGUCAGAGGUGAAGUUCUUGGAUCUGUUAAAGUCGGACUAUUGCGAAUGCAUUUGCCAAGGAUGUUU